Molecule: ribosomal RNA, 460 nt
Filed under: uncultured bacterium
Lineage: Bacteria
Description: bacterial SSU rRNA
Rfam family: Bacterial small subunit ribosomal RNA
Source: RNAcentral
CCUACGGGGUGCAGCAGUGAGGAAUAUUGGACAAUGGGUGGAAGCCUGAUCCAGCCAUCCCGCGUGCAGGAAGACGGCCCUAUGGGUUGUAAACUGCUUUUAUCUGGGGAUAAACCUACUUGCGUGUAAGUAGCUGAAGGUACCAGAAGAAUAAGCACCGGCUAACUCCGUGCCAGCAGCCGCGGUAAUACGGAGGGUGCAAGCGUUAUCCGGAUUUAUUGGGUUUAAAGGGUCCGUAGGCGGACUAGUAAGUCAGUGGUGAAAUCCGACAGCUUAACUGUCGAACUGCCAUUGAUACUGCUAGUCUUGAGUAAGGUUGAAGUGGCUGGAAUAAGUAGUGUAGCGGUGAAAUGCAUAGAUAUUACUUAGAACACCAAUUGCGAAGGCAGGUCACUAAGUCUUAACUGACGCUGAUGGACGGAAGCGUGGGGAGCGAACAGGAUUAGAUACCCGGGUAGUC